Molecule: ribosomal RNA, 405 nt
Filed under: uncultured bacterium
Lineage: Bacteria
Description: partial 16S ribosomal RNA
Rfam family: Bacterial small subunit ribosomal RNA
Source: RNAcentral
GACGACGCUGGCGGCGUGCCUAAUACAUGCAAGUAGGACGAGUUGCGAACGGGUGAGUAACGCGUGGUAACCUGCCUAUUAGAGGGGGAUAACUAUUGGAAACGAUAGCUAAUACCGCAUACCAUCGGAUGUGCCCAGAUGGGAUUAGCUAGUAGGUGGGGUAAAGGCUCACCUAGGCGACGAUCCCUAGCUGGUCUGAGAGGAUGACCAGCCACACUGGAACUGAGACACGGUCCAGACUCCUACGGGAGGCAGCAGUGGGGAAUAUUGCACAAUGGGCGCAAGCCUGAUGCAGCCAUGCCGCGUGUAUGAAGAAGGCCUUCGGGUUGUAAAGUACUUUCAGCGGGGAGGCGUUACCCGCAGAAGAAGCACCGGCUAACUCCGUGCCAGCAGCCGCGGUAAUUC